UACGUAGGGUGCAAGCGUUAAUCGGAAUUACUGGGCGUAAAGCGUGCGCAGGCGGUUUUGUAAGUCUGUCGUGAAAGCCCCGGGCUCAACCUGGGAAUUGCGAUGGAGACUGCAAGGCUAGAAUCUGGCAGAGGGGGGUAGAAUUCCACGUGUAGCAGUGAAAUGCGUAGAGAUGUGGAGGAAUACCGAUGGCGAAGGCAGCCCCCUGGGUCAAGAUUGACGCUCAUGCACGAAAGCGUGGGGAGCAAACAGG
This 253-nucleotide ribosomal RNA is filed under the name uncultured bacterium. Its description in RNAcentral is "partial 16S ribosomal RNA". It matches the Rfam family "Bacterial small subunit ribosomal RNA", at positions 524 to 776 of the family's 1533-position model. The record is from RNAcentral.